CAGUCUGCCACACUCAGAGGGAAAUUCCAACUGCUCUGGAUGAGUCACUUCCCCUCGAUUACCCUUCUUCAAAGGCCUCCCUCCUUGUGAAAUGUGAGGCUUUAUCAGGCUGCCUGACAAAUGCCUGGCCAGCGGGGAUCAGAGGCAAACGCCACUGCAGUUUGGCCCUGUUGUCAGAGCGAGUCACUGGCUGAGAAGAUGAAUCUGUCCUGGGCCUCAAAGCCAGGGCCGUAGCAGCCUCUCUUCUGGGCACCGAGAAGGCAGUGCUGAGCCCAGGGCUGCACUGGGAGAGACAAGGAGGGGCCCGAGUGUCUCAACCUUGGAAGAAACCUGGACCUCAGACUCAGUGCCCCUCCCAGCUCUGGCUGCAGGCUGUAGACACUUCAUUGUCUCCUGCUGAGCGACUGAGGACUUGGGAGGAAAUCCUGCUUAGAACUUCAAACCUCCAUUCCCAGAGCCGCAACCAGACACUGGAGGGGCAAAGAAGGUGGCAUCAGGAGAUCAUGAGGAGGGUCUCCCCGGGCAUGGAUGGACCUCCUGCCUGGAGGGGCUCAGUCCAGGAUUUCCCAAAAGCCAGCCCCAAGACCUGUGCUAAGCUUCUUACAUCCAAAUACUGGGAAAUAGAAAAUACAGAUCGCAGAUUCUGUAACAUGGGAUCUCUCUCUCCCUUCUCCUCACCUGUGCCUGCGUGCAUGUGUGGCUGUGUGGAUUGGGAGCCACUGAGACCCAGAGAUGGCAAAUGCUCUCAGCGGACAGCAUGUCCCCUGCCAGGGGCUUCAGGCAUGUACCUAUUAACUUUUCUGGAGGGGCGGGACAGCCACGGUCUCAGGUGUUUAAAAUCUCUUAAAGGUUUGACCCAUAGGAAUGUGUCAGCAGAGUGCUAAGAAUAUGGAGUCAGAAGGCCUUCUAAUUUCAUAUUCUGUCACUUAGUGGCUCCGUCAUUUAUUGGCAGCAUAAUUUUCAGCAAGUCACUUGCUUUCUGAAGCCUCAAUUUCCUCAUCUAUAAAAUGGGGAUAUUGAUGCCUGUCUUGCUGUGGAAUCUUCAUGUGAGCAUAUUUUGAAAACCACAGGCCAGGCACGGUGGCUCACACCUGUAAUGCCAGCACUUUGGGAGGCCAAGGCAGAUGGAUCACAAGGUCAGGAGUUUGAGGCCAGCCAGGCCAAUGUAGUAAAACCCCAUCUCUACUAAAAAUGCAAAAAUUAGCAGGGCAUGGUGGCAGGCGCCUGUAGUCCCAGCUACUUGGGAGGCAGAGGUGUGAUAACUGCUUGAACCCAGAGACGGAGGUUUCAGUGAGCUGACAUCACACCUUUGUACUCCAGCCUGGGCGACAGAGUGAGAUUCCGUCAAAAAAAAGAAAACUGCAAAGCUCCACUUUUUAACCCCGAUGAAAUCCAGAACCAGACUGACUUUUCAAAGGAGAAACCUUUCAGGCUGAAUUUUCUUCCACUUCUUCCAAGUCCAGCUGUAUCUCAUAUUGAAAGAUGAUCUCCAUGGAGGAGCCCCCAUCCCGCCCAAAGGUUUCUCGUACUCAGUCUUUGGGCGACACCUGCUGGCCGUAGCAGGUACUGUGUCCUCCUGUAGCUAAACAGCUCUGCGGAGGAAGCUUACCCAUCUCCUUAGACAUUCGCAGCCACGCUGCAGGUCAGUGUUCUAGUCCCACUUCUACAGAUCAAAAAGGUGAGACUUGGUCCUCCCAGCUCAUGAGAGGUGCAGUGAAUCUCUCACUCCAGGUUCUUGGCUCCAUCUCAUCCCUACUUCUUGCUCUUAGGCUGGACGGAGUGGGGAGUCCUUUGCCUGGGAGGAGGACAACUCCCCACCCCCCAAAUCAUCCUAAAGUAGGCACUGGGAUUAGGAGCAAGGUCAGGGUUGAAGCCAGGACAGGUCAGGUUGUCCCUGUGUCAACAGCCCCACCAGGAAGCGCACCACAUCCAGUUGUUCCCCAUCUGCAGAACAACCAGACGGAUGGCCAGGACAUCAGUGAUACAAAUUCACUCUGAGGAGGCAGAGAGAUGUCAUUUGGCCAGGCUGUGUGGUGAGGAGCUGGGGACAGGCUGCCCCCUGAGCCUGUUGCCUCCGUGCCCCCUGUGUGGGGCCGUGGCUAGCCUGAAAUCCCGUGCGUGGCUUGGGGGCAGUGGCUGCACCUGGCCAAGGAAGUGAAACAUAUUGUGAUUGAGAAUGAGAAUUUGGCCUCAUCCUUGAGAGAUGCACACAGACUGAUCAAUGCAUGAAAUUGUAUAACAUAUGAAAUUUGCUUCAGAAAAAUUCGCGGUGAUGGGAGCAGGGGCACGGAUGAAUCAAAACUGGUUGCAAGUCAACUAUUAUAUCAUCUGGGAAAUAAAGGCAUAGCGAUUAGUUAUAUAUACUAUUCUCCCUACUUUUGUAUAUGCUUGAGAUUCUCCAUGUUCAAACUUUCUAAAAAAUGAAACAGCAGAAACACUACCACCACCACCAAAGUCAAUACAAAGAAAGAUAACUCGAAAUUAGACUGCCUUGAGCAUCUGAUGUGGUAUGAAUUGGACAAGUUAAUUUCUCUAUGCCUCAGUUUCAUUGUCUUUAAAAUGGGGAUGGUAAUAAUCAUACCAGUCUUAAGGGUUGUUUUGAGAUUCUGCAUCUGGAGUAAUUAGCACAGUGCUGACCCCACAGCAAGCUCUGAAUUAUAAUCAUUGUUAUUAGUAGGAGUCCAGGGUUCUGGUUAUAAUUUGCCAAAAGAAGAGGCUGCUUUAGCUGAUGCAGACAAACAGUUCAUCAGCCCAGCUCAGAGUUCAGACCGAGGAGUCUUUGAGGGCACAGCCCUGAGCUGCCACGUGCUGGGCGUAUGGGUGGCUCAGAUGGGUAGACACACACCAUAGAGUCAGGCUUUCCUUAGACCCUGUAGGGAGGCCUUCUCCCUGCCUCUCUGCAUAUUCUUCCCAUUAUUCAAGCCCAACUCGCACCCACUUGAUUUUUGCUGACCAUUCCUUUCUCUGAGUUUAAGCAGCUCUCUUCACAGAUGCAUCGUACCUCUGCCCUAGGUGAGACUGUAAAUGUCAUCAAACCCAGCCACAUCAUCAUAGCGUCAUUCGACAGUCAUCAAAGACCUGCCUUGGGUGGUGAGGAUGGAGUGGUGAGCAAGGUGGGCAAGAGACGGAGGACAACACGGACUGGGAGGGAGGUAAACACCACUUAGCCAGGAGGUCAGGAGCCCUGGACCUAAGCCCUGACUUUGCCAUGUGACCUGGGAUGCCCUUCAUCUGCUGGCCACUGUUUCCUUCUGGAUGGGACAAGGCACUUGCAGGAGAUGCUCCCCAGGUCCCUUCACACUCUAACCUGCUGACUCUGAGCAUGUAGGUCUCCCUGUGUUGCUCUUUAAACAUCUUCCUCACUGGAGUGCAAGCUUCCUGAGGGCAGGAACUCUGUGCUAGACUUUCCAGAGAUCCGGGAGCUCCUUGCAUGGGGGCUGGGUACAAGUGUGGGCCAGAAACAGUGAAAGAACAGAGUUUUUAACCGGGAGAGGUGGGAAAUGGAUCCCAAAAAAACCUCAUACUGUACCACUUGGAGAUUGACGAUGGCCCACCAGCAUGUUAAAGCCUGCAGUAAAAAAAAAAAACAAAAGCAACUCCCACAAAAACCUAUUUACCUUUGAUGAUUCCAGUGUUUUCCAAACCUAUUUGACCAUAAAUCAGUUUUCGCACCUGAUUCAUUACCUUCUCAUGAAACACUUGUGAAAUGUUAUAUUAGAUCUUUUUGCGUUUUCAGUCGGGUUUAUUAAAAACAAGGUCAAGUUUGGCAAAGAUGCUAGGUUUCAAUGUCAUCGUGGCCUGAAAUGGGACCUCAUUACUGCAUUCUUAGCUGAGCUCUGCCACCCUCACUGGGGCUGGGCUAGGAUCUUAGAAGACAUGCUCAGUCACCUGUUCUAUAAGUACAAUUUGACCCAGGCAACACCUCAUUUCCCAACAUUCGCCAGAUGAUGAGUGGGAUCAUGUUUUCUCUCAAAUAAUCCACCUUAGGAUUACAGGCCGAGGAGCCCAGUUCAGUAGAAGUUCAUGGGAAACUGGCCCAAACUGGCAUGUCAGUCCGACAAACACCGCGCAACAGUAGGAGAAGAUCAGGUGCCUGGACUGGAGCUGCUAACACCUCAUCUGUAUUCAUGAGUCUAUUCCGUUUUAAGAGACAUUUUUUUUUUUUCUUUUUUGAGACAGACUCUGUCUCCCAGUCUGGAGUAUAGUGGUGAAUCACAGCUCACUACAUCCUUGACCCCCUAGGCUCAGGCAAUCCCCCCACCUCAGCCUCCCAAGUAGCUGGGACUACUGGCAUGUACCACCAUGCCCGGCAGGUGGAAUUUCUCCUGGUCAGAGUGGCUGGGGGGCUUACUGGCAUUUUGUAGUGACUCCUGGACUUUGAGGAGGGUCUUGGGUGUCCAAGUAGUGGCCAGUCACGGCGACAGUACGGAUGCUGCCUUGCAGAGCCACCGUGGAAGGCAUUAGGGCAGCACUGGGUGGUCUCCCGUCCUGAGAUCCUCCAGCGCAUAGACUGGCAAGUCCAGCCCAUGGUGAAAUGGCCAGACUUUUUAGGAAGAGGACUUUCAAAUAUAAGUUCAACUUUCAUCAUCUAAGUCAAGGUCACCCUCAUGGGCCUGGGCCUUGACCUUCUCUUUUCUGGGGAGCAAAGUCUCUUCAAGGGAGCUAGCACUUUUAAGUACCUUCUGUGUGACCAGCACUGUACAAAUAAAUACAUGAUUGACAUACAGACUCAAGACCUCUGAGGCAAGAGGGGAGCCCUGGUCAGAAUCCAGAGAACCUGGUCCCCAGCCUCAGCGUGACCCAAGGAAAGUUCCCGCAAUGGAUUCAGGUUUUGCAGGGCCGGAAGCUUAGACCAUUGAGGAGAACCUCUCUAAGGUAAACAAUACGCAAUUAUGAUUACAAAAUUAGGUACAGAUAUGAUUGUUAAUUUAGAAUGAUAAAAAGAAAUUGCAACAAGUUAUAAAUCUCAAAAAAACUGACCAAUGCCAUCAUGAAAUCCAGACAGAUACAUAAUAUUUGUAUUAACUAAAUGCCUGACACAACUCGAAAAUGCUUUCCAAAUUAAAAAAAAUUUUUUUACAUUACUUCUGCUCACAGCUUUACAUGGGCUGGCUUCUGGCUCCAUGCAUUUCAACCCUUGUCUCUCCUGUGCCUACACACAUCUCUGGUACAGACAUCUGAGGCCACAGUUAUACUGUGAUACAACUCUGGCUCUGCAGCUUCAUGUUGCAAAGCGUGAAAUGGAUGAAGACAUAAAGCUUCUGGAACCUAAAAAUGCUGCCUACAGGGUCACGAUGACGACCCUGAAGACCACAGUGACGUGGGCUGUGCAGGAACCCCCUGGACUUCUUUGGUUUUGGGGGUCAGCACUCCUACGGGGUCUAAUGUCCUGCCAAAAGCUUGCCCUUAGAGACCAGAAACUCUAAUACGAGACCUUCCAAGCUUAAGGCUUUGAUCCCAGUUAAAUGACAUCUCUCUGGAAGGCAUGGCACGUGAGGCUGUAAUCAGUUUCCAGACCUUCUACCCCACCACUCCCCAGAGAGAAACGUGACAAUGAGCUUUAGCUCCGUAGAAUCUGGACUUCACAGACCCUCUCUGGGUUGGCUUCUCAAUCAAUUUCAGAGCUGUGAGCUGAGAAGAAAUAGCAGGAGAGAGGCCACAGUUAUUCAGGAAACUCCUGUCUUGCUGGGGGCUUCCACAGCCCCUGACCAACCAUCCCGGGGGCACUGCUGAGAGAGCAGCCUGAACAACGGCAGAGACCCCAGAGACUGCAUCUGUACGGUGGGAGCCCCGGGGCUUUAAACCCUUUGCUCCAGUGAUCUUAAAGCCAUAAUAUGAUAAUCCAAACUGAUGAGAGAGUAAGUGGCAAGCAUACCGAGACAUCUCAUGAGCCCAGCAGACAGAAUUUUGGUGUGAGGAGCACCUGGGUAGUUUAAUGACACAUGCUGUUUUUUCUAUACAGGCGUCAUAGUCUAUGAAUUGCAACAAUUCAUCCUAUCUCAAGAAGAUGGAGGUAUUUUAGAUAUAUGUGUAUAUAUUUGAAGUCAAAACUGUUUAUUUUGCAUAAGUGUUUUUGUGUCUAUUAGUUUCUGAAUAUCUGUGUAUAAAAGCUUUCGUUGCUUUGCCUGCGUACAUUCUUGGAUAUGCACAUAUGCGCCUGUGCGGGGUGGGAUGGGGCCAUGUGUGUAUUUGUUUGCAUUUUCCCUGCUUUGGUCUUAGGAAGGGACCUUGCUGAUCAUCCUAGCCCGACUCUUUCACCUCACUGGUGAAGAAAUUGAAGUCCACAAGGUCAAGGUGACUUGUCACAGGUCACACAGCCGGCUAUGGAGACAGAAAUGAGGCAAGAACCUAGGAUUUCAAUUUGUGGAUGAGCACCCUUUCUAUAAUAUUAAAAUCAAUUAUAAACCUGGGGGAGGGAAGGAGGGAGAUCCUUUUAUUUUCCUCCCCCAAUCGAUACAUAAGUACUAAGAAGCUCAAUCUUGAAUUAGCUGUAGAAUACCAAAAGUUAAGUUUUUCACACUGACCUGGUUCAGUAUUGAUUCCUUUUAUGAAAACCCUAUUUAUACUCAAGUUGUCAAAGAAUUCCAGAGGGCACAUGAAGCCUUUGUUAAAAUAAUUAUAUGCCUUUGUUUUUGAAGAAAAGUAUCCAAAAUAUAUAAGCUUAUUGUUUGAGUUAAACAAUAAAAACAUCUGUUGUUUCUCA
Molecule: long non-coding RNA, 6703 nt
Organism: Callithrix jacchus (white-tufted-ear marmoset)
Lineage: Eukaryota; Metazoa; Chordata; Mammalia; Primates; Cebidae
Source: RefSeq, a predicted model, not a curated record